UCCGUAGGUGAACCUGCGGAGGGAUCAUUACACAAAUAUGAAGGCGGGCUGGAAUCUCUCGGGGUUACAGCCUUGCUGAAUUAUUCACCCUUGUCUUUUGCGUACUUCUUGUUUCCUUGGUGGGUUCGCCCACCACUAGGACAAACAUAAACCUUUUGUAAUUGCAAUCAGCGUCAGUAACAAAUUAAUAAUUACAACUUUCAACAACGGAUCUCUUGGUUCUGGCAUCGAUGAAGAACGCAGCGAAAUGCGAUAAGUAGUGUGAAUUGCAGAAUUCAGUGAAUCAUCGAAUCUUUGAACGCACAUUGCGCCCUUUGGUAUUCCAAAGGGCAUGCCUGUUCGAGCGUCAUUUGUACCCUCAAGCUUUGCUUGGUGUUGGGCGUCUUGUCUCUAGCUUUGCUGGAGACUCGCCUUAAAGUAAUUGGCAGCCGGCCUACUGGUUUCGGAGCGCAGCACAAGUCGCACUCUCUAUCAGCAAAGGUCUAGCAUCCAUUAAGCCUUUUUUCAACUUUUGACCUCGGAUCAGGUAGGGAUACCCGCUGAACUUAAGCAUAUCAAUAAGCGGAGGAAA
This 571-nucleotide ribosomal RNA is filed under the name uncultured Alternaria. RNAcentral's name for it is "eukaryotic LSU rRNA". The stretch from base 196 to 349 matches the Rfam family "5.8S ribosomal RNA". Lineage: Eukaryota; Fungi; Ascomycota; Dothideomycetes; Pleosporales; Pleosporaceae. The record is from RNAcentral.